This 435-nucleotide ribosomal RNA is filed under the name uncultured bacterium. RNAcentral describes it as "partial 16S ribosomal RNA". It matches the Rfam family "Bacterial small subunit ribosomal RNA", at positions 28 to 507 of the family's 1533-position model. The record is from RNAcentral.
GAUGAACGCUGGCGGUAUGCUUAACACAUGCAAGUCGAACGGACUCUUCGGAGUUAGUGGCGGACGGGUGAGUAACGCGUGAGAAUCUGGCUUUGGGUUCGGGACAACCACUGGAAACGGUGGCUAAUACCGGAUGUGCCGAGAGGUAAAAGAGAAAUUGCCUGAAGAUGAGCUCGCGUCUGAUUAGCUAGUUGGUGAGGUAAAGGCUCACCAAGGCAGCGAUCAGUAGCUGGUCUGAGAGGAUGACCAGCCACACUGGGACUGAGACACGGCCCAGACUCCUACGGGAGGAAGCAGUGGAGAAUUUUCCGCAAUGGGCGAAAGCCUGACGGAGCAAUACCGCGUGAGGGAAGAAGGCUCUUGGGUUGUAAACCUCUUUUCUUAGGGAAGAACAAAAUGACGGUACCUAAGGAAUCAGCAUCGGCUAACUCCGUG